RNAcentral lists this long non-coding RNA (468 nucleotides) under Homo sapiens (human). RNAcentral describes it as "HSALNT0298219". Lineage: Eukaryota; Metazoa; Chordata; Mammalia; Primates; Hominidae. The record is from RNAcentral.
GCAAGCCCUACAAGGAUCCAGAACCACACGACAGGCUUAUAGAAGUCCAGAUAUUCAAUAUCGGAUCCACCUGGAGACAAAACAAACAAUAAAGCUGAUGAUCCAAUUGCCAUCACUCUCAUGGUCUCUUUGGAACUCAGGAAUGAAAGACCAGUUUGUAUGGGCUCCUUGAAAUCCCAACAGAAGAAUUACUCUGCACUUGCCACUCUUAGCAACAGGGGUCUGCUUACUCAUAUGUCAAAUAAAAGUGUCUACAGAUUCUGUGGCCUCCCAAGUGCUUUUUAGCCCCAGAACACUGAGCACUGAGAGAGAACAGAAAGUGCCAUCGGGAAGGAGCAGAUACCAAUCACUAAGAUGGGGCCUCGCCCUGUUGCCCAGGAUGGAGUGCAGUGGCACCUUCAUAGCCCACCGCAGCAAGACCUCCUCCCACCUCAGCCUCCCAAAUAGCUAGGACUACAGCUGCAUGCC